GACGAACGCUGGCGGCGUGCCUAAUACAUGCAAGUAGAACGCACAGUUUAUACCGUAGCUUGCUACACCAUAGACUGUGAGUUGCGAACGGGUGAGUAACGCGUAGGUAACCUGCCUGGUAGCGGGGGAUAACUAUUGGAAACGAUAGCUAAUACCGCAUAAUAUUAAUUAUUGCAUGAUAAUUAAUUGAAAGGUGCAAUUGCACCACUACCAGAUGGACCUGCGUUGUAUUAGCUAGUAGGUGAGGUAACGGCUCACCUAGGCGACGAUACAUAGCCGACCUGAGAGGAUGGUCAGCCACACUGGGACUGAGACACGCCCCAUAGUCCUACGGGAGGCAGCAGUAGGGAAUCUGCAGCAAUGGACGAAAGUCUGACCGAGAAACGCCGCGGGAGUGAAGAAGGAUUUCGGAUCGUAAAGCUCGGUUGUAAGAGAGGAACGGGUGUGAGAGUGGAAAGUUCACACUGUGACGGUAUCUGACCAGAAAGGGACGGCUAACUACGUG
This 505-nucleotide ribosomal RNA is filed under the name uncultured bacterium. RNAcentral describes it as "partial 16S ribosomal RNA". It matches the Rfam family "Bacterial small subunit ribosomal RNA", at positions 28 to 507 of the family's 1533-position model. The record is from RNAcentral.